GAUAUUUUUUUUUCCGGAAGGUCAAUAAGAUGUAACUACUUUACUUUCUUUUUACUUUCCUUUCACUUUUCUGUCAGUGGUGCUGAAACGUUUCUCCAUAAACAUCAAAGAAAUCUUCUCAAUCGAAAACAAAUCAAAUAGAUUUUCCCCGAUUCACGAUCAAAUCUUGGCCACCUUAAGGAGUUUUUUGUGGCUUCGCCGCAAGAUUGGUGAAGAAUCAUACACUCGCAGAGCAAAGUUUAUGGAACUUAUUUAAAUCAAGCUGUAGUUCGACUAUCGUUAGCGUCUUCGAAGACACUCCUUUGAUAGAGAAUCACCAUUGAAUGAUGAAGGCAAAGCUAAUGAUGAGAUAAGUUCCAUGUUUUUUUUUGGACACCGGUUUUCUCUGGUUCAAUUUUCAAAAAUUGUUUUAGGAUUUAAAGGUUGUUAAAAAUUGACUUGUGAUAUAUUUAUCGACAGGUAACAAUGUUUUGAUCUUCUGAGACUAAAGAAGAGUAGUCAAGUAAACGUUGAAGAAAGGGAGAGUAAGGAGAAUUCACAUAUAAUGAAGCUUGAAUUUAUGGCUAGUUGGUCGAUACUUCCCGGUUGUUGGAGUAAACGAGAAAUUCUCAUGGAACCUCCAUUCUCCAACUUGCAAUCUCUUAACACGAGCGAGGAAGAGCCUCUUGCAGGUACAAUGAAUCUUGACACCCUACUGUUACAAAUAAUGAGUGCUCAAUUUAGAAGUUCAUAGUAUAACUGUCUAGAAAGUUCAUAAUAAAACUUCAUAGAAUAAAAAGGCUUAAAAAACACUUACUGUCUUAUAUGCGAGUAUGAACUCUAGAGAGUCUCCACCGGAAUAAUUUGAGUGAUGUGUCCAUGAAUGAAGAACCUUCACUUCAACCUUCCAAGUUGUUUUGAAUGGCUUGACAUUGCUCAACAAAGUGAUGUUGUUCGAUGUAGUCAUAGCCAUCUCAGUGUUUGCUUUUAUUUUUUGGUGAGGCGCAUAAUUCUGUGAAGGUUAUGGAAGAUUAUUUAUAGUGAAUUGUGUGUAAAUGCUAGGUAUAAUGAGAAUAUAAAGGCAUAUUCUGAUUUCCAUAUAUUAUAGGUUUGUUAUCAAUAUUUGAUUUGCAUUUAUUUUAGGAACUGAUAUACGAAGUUAAGCGAUAAGAUCUGUAAUGAAUUUAGAUGGGAAGUUGAUUAAAAUAGAGAUCAUAUGCAACUACUAAAAUCGUGUGAAAAUAUAUUUUGUUAGAAAAAAAAUAUAAAUAAAGAAAAUAUUUAAACAAGGGUAAGUUGUUAGAGGGUUUUUUGCUUGGAAGAAAAGUUAGUAUAGAUUUGAGCAAAUCUAUAAUUAAUGUGUGUGGAAGAUAUUUAAUUUGCAGGACACGUAAUUCUAAACUUGUUCACAAAUUUGAAUGUAUACAUUUAUUGUAACCAUACUCUAGAAACACAUCACAUACGAACCAUGUACAAAUAUAUUUACUAAAAAUAUAGUAAUAUACCAUGGGUUUGAAUAGUAACCAAAGGAACGAAGAGGAACACUACAUUCUUUAACGUUCCUCAAAAAUGUUACCAUUCAUGAGGAAUAUUUUUUCCUCUUCAUCCCUUCUCAUUCCUUUUUUUGUAGAGAAUUAUAAUGUAAAUUUGUUCCUUGUUAAUUUUGAUAAGGAACCCGGGUUCCUCAUCAUUCCCAAAAUUUUAUUCCUAUUCAUUCUUUUCCUAAUCAUUUCUAAUGUUAAUGUUCUUCAAUGGUUACCAGUCACACCAUAUAUUAUACGUUAGUUCUUUUAUGAUUAGAUAUGAUUAGCAAAAGAAAAAAAAACUCAAAAAAAUUAAUGGUCAAACGAAUAUAAUCUAUAUAUGGUUGACAAUUUUACGUUCAUAAUGCUAGUGAAAGUGAGUGUUCAAAACUUACAGGUGUAGUGUAUGACUUCGAAUCUGGAUGUCUGGUUAGUAUUUUAAAAAAUUCAAAUGUGAAUUAAUUUGAAUUAAUUUUUAUGCGGUGAUUGAUAUGAACUACAGAGAACACAGAAGAAAGUGUUGUGAUUCAAGUAAUGAAAUGAAGUAUAAACAUGUUUGUCCAAGCAGAGUUUGUAUUAAGAUAUAAUCUAUAGAUAAGAAUUGUGUAUCGUAUUAUUCUUAUAAUUAUAGAUAA
Brassica napus (rape) is the source of this 2137-nucleotide long non-coding RNA. RefSeq lists it as uncharacterized. NCBI's taxonomy places the organism in Eukaryota, Viridiplantae, Streptophyta, Magnoliopsida, Brassicales, Brassicaceae. The record is from RefSeq and is a predicted model, not a curated record. The transcript has 3 exons.